AGGGCCUUAGCUCAGUUGGUAGAGCGCCACCCUUACAAGGUGGAUGUCGUCGGUUCGAACCCGGCAGGCCCUACCA
This 76-nucleotide transfer RNA is filed under the name Pseudobdellovibrionaceae bacterium. RNAcentral describes it as "Bdellovibrionaceae bacterium tRNA-Val". It matches the Rfam family "tRNA". From Rfam's summary of the family: Transfer RNA (tRNA) molecules are approximately 80 nucleotides in length. Their secondary structure includes four short double-helical elements and three loops (D, anti-codon, and T loops). Lineage: Bacteria; Pseudomonadati; Bdellovibrionota; Bdellovibrionia; Bdellovibrionales; Pseudobdellovibrionaceae. The record is from RNAcentral. RNAcentral also lists the same sequence under 1 other name.